AAGCCGCUUGCUACCUGGCGUGUCAGUUCUUAACUCUUGCCUAGGCGGUCAGGUUUUUACUGAUCAUGAAGAAAAUAUUCAUCCCUGAUCCCGCUAACCAACUACCUACCUGCCAGUCCUGGCUUUUUAAAUUUUGAAGUCUCCUUGUUGACUCAGGACCUCCUGGCUGCAGGCUGAAGGGACAAAAGUUGAUGUGACCAUUCAGUUUCCUGCUCUGCCUUCUACGCCUGCCAGUUGCCAUGGCUUCCAGCUGUGAUGGACGCUCAUCUCUGGAAUCAU
This is a non-coding RNA of Peromyscus maniculatus bairdii (prairie deer mouse), 279 nucleotides long. NCBI's taxonomy places the organism in Eukaryota, Metazoa, Chordata, Mammalia, Rodentia, Cricetidae. The record is from RefSeq and is a predicted model, not a curated record.